GAUGAACGCUGGCGGCGUGCCUAAUACAUGCAAGUCGAGCGAACAGACGAGGAGCUUGCUCCUCUGACGUUAGCGGCGGACGGGUGAGUAACACGUGGAUAACCUACCUAUAAGACUGGGAUAACUUCGGGAAACCGGAGCUAAUACCGGAUAAUAUAUUGAACCGCAUGGUUCAAUAGUGAAAGACGGUUUUGCUGUCACUUAUAGAUGGAUCCGCGCCGCAUUAGCUAGUUGGUAAGGUAACGGCUUACCAAGGCAACGAUGCGUAGGCGACCUGAGAGGGUGAUCGGCCACACUGGAACUGAGACACGGUCCAGACUCCUACGGGAGGCAGCAGUAGGGAAUCUUCCGCAAUGGGCGAAAGCUUGACGGAGCAACGCCGCGUGAGUGAUGAAGGUCUUCGGAUCGUAAAGCUCUGUUAUUAGGGAAGAACAAAUGUGUAAGUAACUAUGCACGUCUUGACGGUACCUAAUCAGAAAGCCACGGCUAACUACGUG
RNAcentral lists this ribosomal RNA (497 nucleotides) under uncultured bacterium. Its description in RNAcentral is "partial 16S ribosomal RNA". It matches the Rfam family "Bacterial small subunit ribosomal RNA", at positions 28 to 507 of the family's 1533-position model. The record is from RNAcentral.